RNAcentral lists this ribosomal RNA (459 nucleotides) under uncultured bacterium. RNAcentral's name for it is "bacterial SSU rRNA". It matches the Rfam family "Bacterial small subunit ribosomal RNA", at positions 28 to 479 of the family's 1533-position model. The record is from RNAcentral.
GACGAACGCUGGCGGCAUGCCUAAUACAUGCAAGUCGAGCGAAUGAUGAAGAAGCUUGCUUCUUCUGAUUUAGCGGCGGACGGGUGAGUAACACGUGGGCAACCUACCUUAUAGCUUGGGAUAACUUCGGGAAACCGGAGCUAAUACCGAAUAAUUCAUUUUCUUUCAUGAGAAAAUGCUGAAAGAUGGUUUCGGCUAUCACUAUAGGAUGGGCCCGCGGCGCAUUAGCUAGUUGGUGAGGUAACGGCUCACCAAGGCGACGAUGCGUAGCCGACCUGAGAGGGUGAUCGGCCACACUGGGACUGAGACACGGCCCAGACUCCUACGGGAGGCAGCAGUAGGGAAUCUUCCACAAUGGACGAAAGUCUGAUGGAGCAAUGCCGCGUGAGUGAAGAAGGUUUUCGGAUCGUAAAACUCUGUUGUAAGGGAAGAACAAGUACAGUAGUAACUGGCUGUACC